CCUACGGGAGGCAGCAGUGAGGAAUAUUGGUCAAUGGGCGCUAGCCUGAACCAGCCAAGUAGCGUGAAGGAUGACUGCCCUCUGGGUUGUAAACUUCUUUUAUAUGGGAAUAAAGUGCAGUAUGUAUACUGCUUUGCAUGUACCUUAUGAAUAAGGAUCGGCUAACUCCGUGCCAGCAGCCGCGGUAAUACGGAGGAGCCGAGCGUUAUCCGGAUUUAUUGGGUUGAAAGGGAGCGUAGGCGGGUUGUUAAGUCAGUUGUGAAAGUUUGGGGCUCAACCGUAAAAUUGCAGUUGAUACUGGCAGCCUUGAGUACAGUAGAGGGAGGCGGAAUUCGUGGUGUAGCGGUGAAAUGCUUAGAGAUCACGAAGAACUCCGAUUGCGAAGGCAGCCUGCUGGACUGUAACUGACGCUGAUGCUCGAAAGUGUGGGUAUCAAACAGGAUUAGAUACCCCUGUAGUC
This 460-nucleotide ribosomal RNA is filed under the name uncultured bacterium. RNAcentral's name for it is "partial 16S ribosomal RNA". It matches the Rfam family "Bacterial small subunit ribosomal RNA", at positions 338 to 795 of the family's 1533-position model. The record is from RNAcentral.